GAAUCCCUUGUCCUCUAUUUUCCGGGUUCAUGUCGGGGUCUUCCGGCAACGAUGUUCUUCGGGCUUCCGGCAAGCUCAACAAGCUGAGGAGAGUCCAGUUUCGAGUUGGAGAAUGUUAGAUGGAGAUUGAGUCGUUUUGGGCAGACUGGAGGGAUUUGAAUUUAUCAGUUUCUAGUGAGUCGGCCAGUCCCUCUGUGUUCUUGAGCCUAUUCAGCAGGAGGAAAUGGGGAGGUGUUUUCAGGUGGUAUUUCUAUUUGGGUAGUUUUCCUGAUUUCAAACUUAAUGAUGUGUGGAGUAGUGAGUGGGAUUGGUGCAAACUGGGGUACACAGGCAAGCCACCCUCUACCCCCAGAUAGUGUGGUGAGCCUACUGAGGCAAAAUGGGAUUCAAAAGGUUAAGCUCUUUAAUGCAGAUUAUGACACACUGACAACUUUGGGUAAGUCUGGGAUUGAGGUCAUGGUGGGCAUUCCUAAUGAUAUGCUGGCAUCUCUAGCCUCCAGCGUUAAGGCAGCUGAGAAGUGGGUUUACUAAAAUGUCUCAGCACACAUCUCCUCCAAUAAUGUCAAGAUCAGAUUGCUCCAAUCUAUUUGUUCUCGUACACGAAGCAGGGAAUGAUUGAGUUUGUUAGAGAUUUUGCUGUCUAAGCUGCCUACUGAACAUAAUGAAACACUGCUUAAGGAAAACAAGGCAAGCAGCUGCAGUAGCACUUUAAGUUGUUUUCUUUUGGGUUCUUUGUACUUGUUUUGUGUUAAGUGCAUAUUACAUUUUUGCUGCAUUGUUAUUUUCGUUUUGUAUUGUAACUUGGAUACUCAAUUUGAUGAGUAGA
Fragaria vesca subsp. vesca is the source of this 826-nucleotide RNA transcript. RefSeq lists it as uncharacterized. The transcript is spliced from 5 exons. Lineage: Eukaryota; Viridiplantae; Streptophyta; Magnoliopsida; Rosales; Rosaceae. The record is from RefSeq and is a predicted model, not a curated record.